AUUCAUGUUCCAUCUAAAUGGUCCCAUGGAUGAUAUCUACUUCAUUAGAAUAGGUCCCAUGAUCUCUGCUUGGGCCCUGAUUAUAGGAUACCCCUUUUAACAUUUGGAUGCUACCCUGCUGAAAUUAUUUGCCUAAUCCUUCCUAACUUUAUUCAGAAUGUCUCAACUCCUUUCACUCCAGCUCCUUACCAAUCUCCCGUUGGAAGUUGGAACAACAAUCUUCCAACAAGCUCUUUUCUCAAACCUCCUCUAUGCUAAUUCACUAACAAUUGUCGCUACUCUACUGUCUGCCUGCAAGCAGUGUGAAAUACCAGACUUCGUUUAUCUGAUGGAUCCCUCUUCUACAUCAAGUUAACACUCAAGUUGCAGAGGAAAAUCAAAGAGGAGAAAAGACGAUGAUAGAGGAUAUUCUAAGCUGAUUAUGAUAAGAGACAGGUGAAAUACUCAUCCCUUCUACACAAGGACAAGGACGGACUAAGGAUGACAACCAAAACAUUUAUAUGUCCGUAGCGAAGACGAAGGGAAGCAACAAUGACUUUUUUUAUUUUGUUGCCACCGCUCAGAAGGAUGACUGUUAAACCAAAGACCAGUAUGGGUCGGACUCCUCUCGAUAAUGCACAGGAGGAUCCAUCCUGCAUUCCUUCAGAUUCUACUCCCAAGUAAUCCUUGAUGCAAAUAAUUUUCUUUUUUAUU
This is a long non-coding RNA of Vitis riparia (riverbank grape), 693 nucleotides long. RefSeq lists it as uncharacterized. The transcript has 2 exons. The record is from RefSeq and is a predicted model, not a curated record. NCBI's taxonomy places the organism in Eukaryota, Viridiplantae, Streptophyta, Magnoliopsida, Vitales, Vitaceae.